AAGCAUGGGGGAGCAAAACAGGAUUAGAUACCCUGGGUAGUCCAUGCCGUAAACGAUGUCUACUAGCCGUUGGGGGCCUUUGAGGCUUUAGUGGCGCAGCUAACGCGAUAAGUAGACCGCCUGGGGAGUACGGUCGCAAGACUAAAACUCAAAUGAAUUGACGGGGGCCCGCACAAGCGGUGGAGCAUGUGGUUUAAUUCGAUGCAACGCGAAGAACCUUACCCGGCCUUGACAUACUAAGAACUUUCCAGAGAUGGAUUGGUGCCUUCGGGAACUUAGAUACAGGUGCUGCAUGGCUGUCGUCAGCUCGUGUCGUGAGAUGUUGGGUUAAGUCCCGCAACGAGCGCAACCCUUUUCCUUAUUUGCCAGCGGGUAAUGCCGGGAACUUUAAGGAUACUGCCAGUGACAAACUGGAGGAAGGCGGGGACGACGUCAAGUCAUCAUGGCCCUUACGGCCAGGGCUACACACGUGCUACAAUGGUCGGUACAAAGGGUUGCUACCUCGCGAGAGGAUGCUAAUCUCAAAAAGCCGAUCGUAGUCCGGAUCGCAGUCUGCAACUCGACUGCGUGAAGUCGGAAUCGCUAGUAAUCGCGGAUCAGAAUGCCGCGGUGAAUACGUUCCCGGGCCUUGUACACACCG
RNAcentral lists this ribosomal RNA (640 nucleotides) under Acinetobacter schindleri. RNAcentral's name for it is "bacterial SSU rRNA". It matches the Rfam family "Bacterial small subunit ribosomal RNA", at positions 755 to 1392 of the family's 1533-position model. Lineage: Bacteria; Pseudomonadati; Pseudomonadota; Gammaproteobacteria; Moraxellales; Moraxellaceae. The record is from RNAcentral.